CGGACGGGUGAGUAACGCGUGGGUAACCUGCCUUGUACUGGGGGACAACAGUUGGAAACGACUGCUAAUACCGCAUAAGCGCACAGCUUCGCAUGAAAGCAGUGUGAAAAACUCCGGUGGUACAAGAUGGACCCGCGUCUGAUUAGCUAGUUGGUGAGGUAAUGGCCCACCAAGGCAACGAUCAGUAGCCGGCCUGAGAGGGUGAACGGCCACAUUGGGACUGAGANACGGCCCAAACUCCUACGGGAGGCAGCAUG
RNAcentral lists this ribosomal RNA (257 nucleotides) under uncultured bacterium. RNAcentral describes it as "partial 16S ribosomal RNA". It matches the Rfam family "Bacterial small subunit ribosomal RNA", at positions 99 to 353 of the family's 1533-position model. The record is from RNAcentral.